GGAGGAAAGCAGGGGAUCGUAAGACCUUGCGUUAAUGGAGCGGCCGAUAUCUGAUUAGCUAGUUGGUGAGGUAAAGGCUCACCAAGGCGACGAUCAGUAGCUGGUUUGAGAGAACGACCAGCCACACUGGAACUGAGACACGGUCCAGACUCCUACGGGAGGCAGCAGUGGGGAAUUUUGGACAAUGGGGGCAACCCUGAUCCAGCCAUUCCGCGUGAGUGAAGAAGGCCUUCGGGUUGUAAAGCUCUUUCGCAAGGGAAGAAAACUUAUGAUCGAAUAAAUCAUGAGGUUGACGGUACUUUGAUAAGAAGCACCGGCUAACUACGUGCCAGCAGCCGCGGAAAUACGUAGGGUGCGAGCGUUAAUCGGAAUUACUGGGCGUAAAGCGUGCGCUGGCGGUUUUGUAAGUCGGAUGUGAAAUCCCCGGGCUCAACCUGGGAACUGCGUUUGAAACUACAAAGCUAG
This 465-nucleotide ribosomal RNA is filed under the name uncultured ammonia-oxidizing beta proteobacterium. RNAcentral describes it as "bacterial SSU rRNA". It matches the Rfam family "Bacterial small subunit ribosomal RNA", at positions 198 to 644 of the family's 1533-position model. Lineage: Bacteria; Pseudomonadati; Pseudomonadota; Betaproteobacteria. The record is from RNAcentral.